UUAACUACAAAUUAAAUGUACAACGUACAAACAAUUAAAUGUACAAUAUGUGCAAAAAGUAAAUGUACAUCAUUUCCCUUUCACCCAAUUUUAGUCAAAUAUCCAGAGUUUAUCAAAUAUCAACCAAAUGUCAAAUGUUUGUCAAAUAUCCACCAAAUUAGAUAAUUUGGUGUCCAAAUUUUGGCUGUUUAGUUUUGCACAAGACAAACAAGACUAACAAGUAAGAGAAGAUUGAAAGCCGCCAUUUUAACUUUGUGCAAUCAGUAUUCUUGAGCUUCUUAUACACCCCUCAAAAUAUUAUAAAUGUUGUAAAUAUUUUAGUAUUUAACGACUUGCCUGGAAAGGCCGAUAUACGCACUACACUUUUAUGUUUUAUGUUUUACAUCUAGAAUUCUCCCGGAACAAAACGGACUAUCUAGGUAAUAAUAACCGUGCUUUUUAGCCACACCUCCAAGCUCUGUGGAAGUUCACAGUGAUUUUUCUGGACGUUUAUUUUUUUUCCGAAAAUUGUGAUGACAUAAAUAUUAACUCCCCACUGUUGGGAAACCCUUCAACUAGUUGUGGUGCAAUCACUUGCCAUUAGAAGUCCUAAUUAUUUGAAUGGAGUUCACCUGUGUGCGAUUAAAGUGUCAUGUGAUCUCAGUAUAAAUACACCUGUUCCAGGAAGGCUCCAUUGUUUUGUUUUGUUUUGUUUUGUUAGGGAACAUAUCUAAACAAACAGCAUCACAAAGAACGAGCUAUCAAAACAAGUCCGGGACAAACUUCUGGAAAAGUUCUAAUCUGGAUUUAUCCCAAAACUUUAAACAUCCUGCAGAUCACCAUUAAAUCCAGUGAUAAAAAAAUGGACGCUACCUAGUAGAGGCUGGCCACCAAAAGCCAGUGAGCAGCUAAAGAGGGAGGGGAUUAGUCAGAGACGCGACCGAACCAAUGCAAUCAUAUAAUUAUAUAUUUUUACAUUUUAAAUAAUUUUUCAACCUACAUAUAGCGAUAUUUUCACCUGACUAUUAUGGGCUGUUUGUUGUUGAUUCAUGGCAUAUUCCCACUUAAGUGCAUUUCAGUUCCAGGUUGUCCAUCCAUCCAUCUUCUUUACCGCAUAUCCUUCCUUCAGGGUCACGGGGAAACCUGGAGCCUAUCCCAAGGAAGCAUCGGGCACAAGGCGAGGUACACCCUGGACAGGGUGCCAAUCCGUCGCAGGGCACACUCACAUACACAUUCACACACUACGGAGACUUUAGACACGCCAAUCAGCCUACCAUGCAUGUCUUUAGCCACUUUAAUAGCUGGAUGUAUGACAUGCAUAUAAAGACUCUCUUUUAGCCCUUAUAUUGAUAUUUGUCUAUGUUAAUUAUUGAAAUAUUGUAAACAUGACUCAAAUAAUAAUAUCAUAUAAA
This is a long non-coding RNA of Ictalurus punctatus (channel catfish), 1391 nucleotides long. The record is from Ensembl. NCBI's taxonomy places the organism in Eukaryota, Metazoa, Chordata, Actinopteri, Siluriformes, Ictaluridae.